RNAcentral lists this ribosomal RNA (375 nucleotides) under uncultured bacterium. Its description in RNAcentral is "bacterial SSU rRNA". It matches the Rfam family "Bacterial small subunit ribosomal RNA", at positions 523 to 898 of the family's 1533-position model. The record is from RNAcentral.
AUACGUAGGGGGCAAGCGUUGUCCGGAUUUACUGGGUGUAAAGGGUGCUCAGGCGGGUUUGUAAGUCGGUGGUGAAAUCCCGGGGCUUAACUCCGGAACUGCCAUAGAAACUGCAAGCCUAGAGUACGGAGGAGGUUGAUGGAAUAUCUGGUGUAGCAGUGAAAUGCGUAGAUAUCAGAUAGAACACCAAUGGCGAAGGCAGUCAACUGGUCCGUUACUGACGCUAUAGCACGAAAGUGUGGGGAGCGAACAGGAUUAGAUACCCUGGUAGUCCACACCCUAAACGAUGAGUACUAGACGUUGGGCCUUUUAAGGUUCAGUGUCUGAGCUAACGCAUUAAGUACUCCACCUGGGAAGUACGAUCGCAAGGUUGAA